Molecule: long non-coding RNA, 964 nt
Filed under: Homo sapiens (human)
Lineage: Eukaryota; Metazoa; Chordata; Mammalia; Primates; Hominidae
Description: long non-coding RNA NONHSAT188925.1
Source: RNAcentral
AAAGGCAUCUGAGUGGUAAGAGGAUCCGGAGCCCAGGACUGCUGAGUCAACCCUCUGGAAUGCCCACAACUCCCCACAGGCCAGCCGGCCUUGGGACUCCCGCACAGCCACGUGAGCCGGUGGAGCCGGGUCUGUUUGCUAGUGGAGGCUGUUAACAGCACGGGAAGUGGUCAAGGGUUCAACAAGAGAUGAGCCAUCUGGUCCUCCAGAGGGAACCAGCAGGCCACAGAAGGUUGUGACUUCAAUAUACCCUCUCAUGAGACCUUUCCUGGCCCCUUAUCUGUGGAGGAGGCACGUGACCCACAUGGUCUGGCCACUGAUGACUGAACAAGCUAUGGACACCGGACCCCGGAGAGACCAUUCACUCACUGGCCACGAACAUGAGUUCAGAUACAUGCCCCAAAAGGAUGAGCCUGGGUACUGGAUUCCCUCCCUCAGAAACGUGAAUCAAGAGACACAGGAUGUUCCUGUUGGUCCAGAUACUUGAGCUAAAAGGUGAUGGAUACCUGGAUGUGGGGUGGUCAUUCUGGGGAGUACGUCCAUAUAGAAAGAGGAGCAGGUGCUGUGGGAUUCUGGAUCCCAGUGAUAGAGCUAAGUGGCUGGAUCAAGCUUCACCUGAAACCCACUCUACUUGUCUUAGUCCAUUUUGUGUUGCUAUAAAAGAAUACCUGCAACUGGGUAAUGUAUAAAGAAAAGAGACUUAUUUCAUUGGUUCUGCAAUCAGCAGCCCCUCCAGACAUCCCUGGGAGGCUCCAAGGAGCUGACUCCUGAUGAGGAAAAGGAUCAGCCGCAGACUCACUCCUCCUCCAGCCACUUCCAGACCCACGGGAGGCGUGGGUGUGACCCAGACUACCUGGGAGCAUCUGCUUUUGUCUUUAUCCAGGGCAGGACCCUCUGAAGGAGGAGCCCUCAGAGAAGAAGGGAAAAGCCAAAAGGAAUUAAAAGCCAAUUUCCAAAUGGAAAU